Molecule: long non-coding RNA, 1670 nt
Organism: Fukomys damarensis (Damara mole-rat)
Lineage: Eukaryota; Metazoa; Chordata; Mammalia; Rodentia; Bathyergidae
Source: Ensembl
GGCUGCCGGCAGCGUGGGACUGCGAGUUCAAAUCCCACCCUGACCUCUAGGGUCCCUGGCCCUGGGCUGCACCUGCGCAAGGCCAGCGGGGGACACAGUGGGUCUGGGCCCCGGCUGCCCCUCGGGGACAGGGGUCCUCCUCCUCCCCCGCGGGGACACGGUGUCCACAGCACCCGGCCCGACCUGGCGGAGGACGCAGGGGAGCCCAGCUGUCCCGGCCGUGUCUCCGUGGCACUUGCGUCAGCAGCUCUGCCCUUUGACUCCUGCUCUCCCGGGAGGCGCGAGCCGCGCGUUAUUGGGGUUCGGCCUGGCUUCUGCCUCCCACAGCCCGGCUUUAAGACCAGAGCCGGGAGGGGAGCGGCCCUGCGGCCGUGGGAAGGAGUCGCGCUCGUGAAAGCUCCUGGCUGCCCCGGCUUGUCGGGACAUGUCCCCAGGCUGGGCGGGGACGCUGGGCGGCGCCGGAGGGGACGUUUCCUCCUGGCUGGGUCCCCGGAGCCGGGCGCACCGUGCGAAUCACCGGCACAGCGGCCCGGUGUUCCUAUCCCGGGUCCCCUGGGGCCAAAGCCUGAGCUUGAACCCGGACCCCAGCCCCGCAGUAGUUGGAGGUGUCGCCCAUCUCUUUCCCCUGUCCAUCUAAGGAAGAACCACUACCCGACCUUCCCCACCUCUCUGCUGAUCAGCCGGCUCCUCCUUCCUCGGCUCCUGCCUCAGGACCUUUGCACCACUCUUCGGGCUUCCUGGAAUCCCCUCCCCCAACAUCGUGGUAGGCUCCUCCUCUUCCUCUGGCACAUUUCAUCAACCACAGGAGAAGCAGCACUCCUUCAGCACCGCAUGGAAGAUGGACGGUCACGCCUGGUACCCAGCUAGCGGCUUUUAAUCCACUCUCUAAUAAAAGGACACAGCGAGGGGGGCUGGUUCUAGGACGGGCAGGAAGUGCAGAGAAAAGCCCUGAGAGAGCCGCUCUGACGGGAACAGGUCAGGGGGACGCAGGAGCCAAGAGGAAGAGCUGCCAGGGGCCGGGAGCCGGGACUGUUGAGCAAUAGAAUAAAUAUUGCCGGAUAAUAACUCAGAUGCAAAACAAAUACGCAGGAGACCAUUGUAAAUACGGGGGCAAAUAAACCGGGCUGCAUGCAGAAGAGGCCCAUACUUCUUUGCUGUUGUUACUGCUUUGCUUGUUUCAGACCAGGUCUCCCUAGGUAGCCCGGGCUGGCCUAGAACUCCACACCGAUCCUCCCGCUUCAGCCUCCCAAGUGCGGGGAUCACAGCUGUGCAGAUUUUGACCUUAGAGAGGGGCAGCACAGCAACCUCCCUCCGAAGCCUGCAGUUGGGGAAGCUCAGCGCUGGUCAUGUUGCUGGUGUGGACCCUGAGCGUGCUCAAAAUGCCAUUUCAGCCGGGUGUGUGGCCCACGCCUGCCAUCCUAGCACUCGGGAGGCUGAGGCAGGAGGAUCGCUGUGAGUUCAAGGCCAAACUGGGCGAUAUAGUGAGCCCCCAUCUUCACAACGAAAAUGCGGCAUUUUACCUGUGUGAUCGCUCCCCACACCCACACCCCCAGUCUCGCCACGAAAAGCAGGAGACAGGUUCCAGUAUGGCGGCAUCUCGUGAUACAGCCGACCCGCAUCCUACAGCCGUCAGGGUCACCAAAAACAAGGGAAGCUGGGUGCAGUGGCAC